AGGGUUUGAUUAUGGCUCAGGAUGAACGCUAGCUACAGGCUUAACACAUGCAAGUCGAGGGGCAGCAUUUUAGUUUGCUUGCAAACUAAAGAUGGCGACCGGCGCACGGGUGAGUAACACGUAUCCAACCUGCCGAUAACUCGGGGAUAGCCUUUCGAAAGAAAGAUUAAUAUCCGAUAGUAUAUUUUCUCCGCAUGGCGAGAAUAUUAAAGAAUUUCGGUUAUCGAUGGGGAUGCGUUCCAUUAGUUUGUUGGCGGGGUAACGGCCCACCAAGACUACGAUGGAUAGGGGUUCUGAGAGGAAGGUCCCCCACAUUGGAACUGAGACACGGUCCAA
Molecule: ribosomal RNA, 336 nt
Filed under: uncultured bacterium
Lineage: Bacteria
Description: bacterial SSU rRNA
Rfam family: Bacterial small subunit ribosomal RNA
Source: RNAcentral